Molecule: ribosomal RNA, 520 nt
Filed under: uncultured bacterium
Lineage: Bacteria
Description: bacterial SSU rRNA
Rfam family: Bacterial small subunit ribosomal RNA
Source: RNAcentral
GGGAACAUACCCUUUUCUACGGAAUAGCUCUGGGAAACUGGAAUUAAUACCGUAUACGCCCUACGGGGGAAAGAUUUAUCGGGGAAGGAUUGGCCCACGUUGGAUUAGCUAGUUGGUGGGGUAAAGGCCUACCAAGGCGACGAUCCAUAGCUGGUCUGAGAGGAUGAUCAGCCACAUUGGGACUGAGACACGGCCCAAACUCCUACGGGAGGCAGCAGUGGGGAAUAUUGGACAAUGGGCGCAAGCCUGAUCCAGCCAUGCCGCGUGAGUGAUGAAGGCCUUAGGGUUGUAAAGCUCUUUCACCGAUGAAGAUAAUGACGGUAGUCGGAGAAGAAGCCCCGGCUAACUUCGUGCCAGCAGCCGCGGUAAUACGAAGGGGGCUAGCGUUGUUCGGAAUUACUGGGCGUAAAGCGCACGUAGGCGGAUAUUUAAGUCAGGGGUGAAAUCCCAGAGCUCAACUCUGGAACUGCCUUUGAUACUGGGUAUCUUGAGUAUGGAAGAGGUAAGUGGAAUUGCGAGU